AAACUGCAGGUCGGAGGAAGAGCUGUGUCCCAAAGGCAGGGCUAGGUCCAUCCAAUCAUUUUGCUCAGCUGAUUGGUUACCGUGGAGAUUAAAUGACUUCUCAAACAUGUGACACUAAGGCGACACUACAGGAAUGUUUUAUGAGGGAAGAACUUUAUAUCUUGACGUAAAGCUCAAACAUGUCGAUAUUACAUAAUAUUGCCCCUUUAGCAUUUUUACCAGAGCAGUAAUAACAGGAAGUCACCUAAAUAAAAAAUGUCUUGUCUUUGGUUAGUGUUGAUCUACAUUUUGCAUAAAUAUUAAAAUUGGACUCAGAUUUUUUUUAUGAUUUCUCAGACAAAAUCUAAAGGCUACUUAAAUAUCUCGGCUUCAGGGAAGACAGGAAACCAGAAAGUCAGUCAUGGAAGAUUUUUUAUCCUUCUUUUCGGUUUCUGCUGCAGAACUGGUUCUUGAUCCAGAGCCGGAUAAUACCGAGUUUGAUUCUUCCAAACUGGUCCAAGUCACAAAAUGCUGAGCAGCAAUGGAAAACCGUAGUAACGGCCGCACAGAAGUAGAAAUCUGACC
Xiphophorus couchianus (Monterrey platyfish) is the source of this 564-nucleotide long non-coding RNA. RefSeq lists it as uncharacterized. The record is from RefSeq and is a predicted model, not a curated record. The transcript has 3 exons. Lineage: Eukaryota; Metazoa; Chordata; Actinopteri; Cyprinodontiformes; Poeciliidae.